RNAcentral lists this long non-coding RNA (1086 nucleotides) under Struthio camelus australis. RNAcentral describes it as "lncRNA (ENSSCUG00000000542.1)". The record is from RNAcentral. Lineage: Eukaryota; Metazoa; Chordata; Aves; Struthioniformes; Struthionidae.
GAGCUGAGCGCUGCAGUGAUCCUCCUGGUUUGCUGCAAAGCUAUAGUUCAGCUCCCCUCCGUCCCAGGCAGGGGAAGGACAGGCUGGAAGGACACCACAGAGCGCUUUGCUUUCUCUUCUUUCAACUUGAUCUGUGCUUAGUUUUUCUGGCAGUGGCAGUAUUUCAUAACUUUGAGAACUCUAAUAACUGUGGGGCCUCUGACUCGAAAGGAAAUGCUUUCCUCAGUGGGGAAAUGCCCUCCAGUUCCACGAAGAGCAUGUACACUAAAUUGAAAAGCAAAACAAAUACUCAUCAAAGCUUCCUGCAAAAAUUUGGGAACUUGGGUUCUUUUUUUUCUGCUGUUUCUUUUUAAAGACUGAGGAGGUUUAGAACAGAGAAAAUAGCCGGAGCAAGGGGUUUUUGUUGUUUGCUCAAUGUGCAUGUGGGAGCGUGUGAGAAGAGGAAGGAACAGCCGGCCUGGCAUUAGCGCGGAGCGUGAACUUGACUUGAUCCAUUGGAGGUGGAUCUUGUGCUUCUGAUCAGAUGAAAACAGGAUGGCAGUUUCAGCAUCUCCAGCGACAACAACACUUCUGCUGACAGUACUAGCAAUCAGCCAUUUUUAAACGACCUUAGCAAAUCCACUUGUCACAGGAGAAGCAUCUCUUUUGCUAUGCAAGGGGCUGGGGUCCAUUCUUGUGUCUCUUUGCUAUUCUCAUGGAUGCAUAUUAAGUGUAUUUGCGCUGGUGUUGCCUAAAACUCUGCCGGCCUUGCUGAGAGCUGAAGGGCUGCACUGCCGAGAGAGCAUCAGGUCAGAAAAUCACCUUUCGUGAGGCUCUGUCAGGUGCGUCAGAGGCACGGUGCUGCCCUGUGGAGGUCAUAUAUUCGUCCUCGGGGCUGUGUCCUUUCCCCCAGCCUCCUCACCACCUUGUCUGAAAGCGUGUUGUCCCUCUGCGGGCCUUGAGGGCUGGCGAGGAGCAAGCUGCAGCCAAAGAGCCCCUCUGGGGCUAGCUCCGGCCAACCUCCUUGCAUGCUGCUGGCCCGUCUGCCUCUCUGCUGGUCUAACACAAAAAUGUGUCUAAUAAAGCAGAGUUUGUUGCUGAAAAUCA